This 305-nucleotide ribosomal RNA is filed under the name uncultured bacterium. RNAcentral's name for it is "bacterial SSU rRNA". It matches the Rfam family "Bacterial small subunit ribosomal RNA", at positions 335 to 637 of the family's 1533-position model. The record is from RNAcentral.
UUUCCUACGGGGGGCAGCAGUGAGGAAUAUUGGUCAAUGGCCGCAAGCCUGAACCAGCCAAGUCGCGUGAGGGAAGACGGCCCUACGGGUUGUAAACCUCUUUUGCCGGGGAGCAAGCCUGAGCACGUGUGCCCAGGCGGAGAGUACCCGGAGAAAAAGCAUCGGCUAACUCCGUGCCAGCAGCCGCGGUAAUACGGAGGAUGCGAGCGUUAUCCGGAUUUAUUGGGUUUAAAGGGUGCGCAGGCGGGCUGUUAAGCCGGCGGUAAAAUUGCGGGGCUCAACCCCGGCGAGCCGUUGAAACUGGC